RNA transcript from Vitis vinifera (wine grape), 2075 nucleotides. It is a transcript of the gene named polyphenol oxidase, chloroplastic-like, with no coding region annotated. The transcript has a single exon. NCBI's taxonomy places the organism in Eukaryota, Viridiplantae, Streptophyta, Magnoliopsida, Vitales, Vitaceae. The record is from RefSeq and is a predicted model, not a curated record.
UAAGAAUACGUACUACCUACCCCAGUUCAUUCUGUACAGAGACUGAGGCCAUAGAGCGGUCUCACUUAUCACCCGUAACUCCUCUAAAGCUAUGGCUUCUUUGCCUUGGCAGCUCACAACCUCCACCGCCACCGCCACCGCCACCGUCACCACCUCCAACAUUUCGGCCUUGUCACCUUCUCCCUUGUUUCACAGGGUUUCUCGGGGGAGUCAGAAAUCGAAACCACAGAUCUGCUCCUAGUAAAGUGUCGUGCAAUUCUACAAAUGGUGAUCCAAACUCGGAUUCUACCUCCGACAUUCGAGAAACUUCCCCAGGGAAGUUAGAUAGGAGGAAUGUGCUUCUUGGCAUAGGAGGGCUGUAUGGUGCCGCUGGCGGCCUCGGCGCCACUGAGCCAUUAGCCUUUGGGGCUCCCAUCCAGGCACCGGAUGUAAACAAGUGUGGUGCCGCCACCGUGCCUGAGGGUGUAACGCCCACAAAUUGUUGCCCGCCAGCCACCACAAAGAUUAUAGAUUUCCAGCUACCUUCCCCAGAUUCCCCCAUGCGCAUUAGGCCAGCUGCUCACUUGGUCAGCAAAGAGUACAUAGCCAAGUAUAAAAAGGCCAUUGAGCUAAUGAAAGCUCUUCCUGAUGAUGAUCCACGGAGCUUCAUGCAGCAGGCCAAUGUCCAUUGCGCCUAUUGCGAUGGGGCUUAUGAUCAGGUUGGGUUUCCGGACCUAGAGCUCCAGGUUCAUUUUUCAUGGCUUUUCUUCCCUUUCCACCGUUUCUAUUGCUACUUUCAUGAGAGAAUUCUUGCAAAACUGAUUAACGAUCCCACCUUCGCUUUGCCCUAUUGGAGCUGGGAUUCCCCUCCUCCUGGAAUGCAAAUGCCGGGCAUCUAUGCUGAUUCCACAUCAACACUCUACGACGCGAAGCGCAACGCCAACCACCUGCCUCCGACUGUAAUCGAUCUCGACUACGAUUUCACCGAACCCACAAUCCCAGUUUCGGAAUUAGUUGCCAACAACCUGUCAAUCAUGUACCGGCAAGUUGUGUCGGGUGCCACGACUGCUAAGCUAUUCUUUGGUGCCCCAUACCGUGCUGGCGAUCAGCCUGACCCCGGACCGGGUACCAUUGAGAACGUCCCACAUGGUCCAGUCCACAUAUGGACUGGACUUUUUGACGAGCCUCAUGAGGACAUGGGAAACUUCUAUACUGCCGGCAGAGACCCCAUAUUUUUCGGUCACCACUCCAACGUCGACCGUAUGUGGACGCUAUGGAAAGCUAUAGGAGGUAAAAAUAGAACGGAAUUCACGGACCCAGAUUGGCUAAACGCCGGGUUCGUCUUCUACGACGAGAACGCCCAACUUGUUCGCGUCAAGGUCCGAGACUGCCUCGACCAUCUCAAGCUGAGAUACAAAUAUCAGGAUAUUCCUAUUCCAUGGCUAAAAAAAAGUACGCAGCCCAAAGCGAAGACGACCACCAAAAGUUCCAAGUCGGGAGUAGCGAAAGCGGCGGAACUCCCAAAGACGACGAUCAGCAGCAGUGGAGGCUUCCCAAAACCUCUUAACUCAGUAAUAAGAGUAGAAGUUCCGAGGCCAAAGAAAUCAAGAAGCAAGAAGGAGAAAGAGGAUGAAGAAGAGGUGUUGCUGAUAAAAGGAAUAGAGCUAGAUAGAGAUGAUUUCGUGAAGUUUGAUGUGUACAUCAACGACGAAGAUUAUUCAGUGAGUAAGCCUAGUAAUAGUGAGUUCGCAGGAAGCUUGGUGAACGUACCACACAAGCAUACGCAGAGAAUGAAGACAAAGACCAGCCUGAGGUUAGCGAUAAAUGAAUUACUAGAUAACUUGGGGGCUGAAGAUGAUGAGAGUGUGAUCGUGACUAUAGUCCCUCGUGCUGGGACCGAUGGUGUCACCAUUGGUGGAAUUGAGAUCGAGUUUGUUUCCGAUUGAUCCCACCUUUCGAUUCUUAUCCAUUAUAUGUAUCCGGUCACGUGUGUUUCGAAAUCAAUGAAGGUCAUUUCUACGCAUUAUGUAUCAUGUAAAUCACAUCAGUAUGUGACUAAUGGAAAAUGUGAAAUUUCUUUCUACUUUCCCCUUCCA